RNAcentral lists this ribosomal RNA (309 nucleotides) under uncultured bacterium. Its description in RNAcentral is "bacterial SSU rRNA". It matches the Rfam family "Bacterial small subunit ribosomal RNA", at positions 28 to 334 of the family's 1533-position model. The record is from RNAcentral.
GACGAACGCUGGCGGCGCGCCUAACACAUGCAAGUCGAACGAGCGAGAGAGAGCUUGCUUUCUCGAGCGAGUGGCGACCGGGUGAGUAACGCGUGAGGAACCUGCCUCAAAGAGGGGGACAACAGUUGGAAAUAGGUGCUAAUACCGCAUAAGCGCACAGUAUCGCAUGAUACGGUGUGAAAAACUCCGGUGGUAUAAGAUGGACCCGCGUCUGAUUAGCUUGUUGGCGGGGUAACGGCCCACCAAGGCGACGAUCAGUAGCCGGCCUGAGAGGGUGAACGGCCACAUUGGGACUGAGACACGGCCCAA